ACUUUUCUCUUCAGCUUCCCCAUGAGCUGCAAGCUGAGAGCAACGGGAAGGCUGCGUGCAGCAGGCUCUGCCUGCUUCCCUGUUCCUGCGGCUCCGCACAACACAACUGAUACAAGAAUCCAGGGCUCUGACCUUGGCUGCACCAACCCUGAGUCAGCUGAGCACAGAUGUGAUGAGGCAUAAGGACAAUGGUCCCGAUUCAUCAAGCACUGAACAAUCUCAUUUUAAAAAAGCCUGAGGAUGGCCUGGGAUGCCGUGUGUGUCUCCAGGGUCACACAAAUCAGAACAGGCAUGCCCUUUGAAAAAAAAAAAAAAAAAAAGCCUAUGUCAUGUUUAUAGAUUUUGAAUCUGCGAGUUCCUAAAGCUUCAGCCAGACUCUACAGGUGUCCGGGGCACUGGGAAACAAUCUGCAGAGACUCAACCGUUUGCAGGACCCGGCUGCAUCUCCCUGUGCAAGAGAAACCCCCAGUGCCUUGUCUGCCUUCCAAGCUGCUCAUCACCUGACACUGACUUCUCAGUUCAUUAUUCUUGCACUCUUCAUGACAUUUCAAAACUAAGAACAAACGCCUCCAGAAAGCUCUGGGAUUCAGGAAGAGCAGGAGGGUUCAGCAUAUGUGAGGAGCAUUUACUCUUCCUGGAGAUAACUGGAGAAGCUCUUUUGAAAGGAACAGGCUGGAGAAAAGACUGAAAACCACAGGAAUGUGUCACCAAGGGCCUGAUCCUGCCCCUCACUGGAAGCCCUGAGCUGUGACCAUACCUCAUCCUCAAAGACCACGAGCUGCGUUUUCCGUAGCUGGAUGUAACGAUCCUUCCACAAUCCCAGGAGCCCCCCACUGCUUUUCUUAAUCCAGCCGUAUUUCUCUGCAGUUGGAACAGACUUGGGUUUCUCCGAGACCUCCUCCUUUGUAUCCUGCAAGGACAGAAGCGAGAAGGAAUUGCAUCAAAAACCCUUGCCAUCCAUUUAAUGACGAUCACCAGAAAGCCCAAAAAGACCUCAGCACCAGUACAAGUCCCUCCCCACCACAUCACAGACUGGCAUCUUCCAGAGGAAAAGUCAACCAGCUCCCAGCGUAGAGCUGCCACGGGACUGGGGAGCAGCACAGAGCCUGGCCAGCCCUGGGAUCACUGCUGGGAUGGCACCAAAGCCACCUUGCUCCUCUGCUUCCCCAGUAGCCCAGAGACACUUCUGCAAGCUUCUCCUCUAGGUCUCUACAUUGGGUCAUUGCCCCCAAACCAACUUCUAUGAACAAAUCCACAGCAUGAGGGCCAGGACUUCAUCACAUCUGCACUAAAAUGUUCCUGGGAGGCUCCUGCGGGCUUUGCGAGCAGAAGGAAGGACUGUAGAGAAGGCAGCACCAAAAGUGGGGUCUUUUUUUUGCCCUGCCUUUAGCUCCUUGCUGCUCGUCACCACUUGCUCCUGCCCACCCACAGCAGCAUGGGGAGCCCCACAAUCCUGCACUAGGAGGCUGCUGGCUUUCCAGGCCUGCUAAAAACCAGGAGAUGCAUAACUUCCCUGCUUUGAAAAAAAAAAAAAAAACAAACCAAA
Molecule: long non-coding RNA, 1546 nt
Organism: Columba livia (rock pigeon)
Lineage: Eukaryota; Metazoa; Chordata; Aves; Columbiformes; Columbidae
Exons: 4
Source: RefSeq, a predicted model, not a curated record